RNAcentral lists this ribosomal RNA (406 nucleotides) under Roseburia sp. Its description in RNAcentral is "bacterial SSU rRNA". It matches the Rfam family "Bacterial small subunit ribosomal RNA", at positions 355 to 776 of the family's 1533-position model. Lineage: Bacteria; Bacillati; Bacillota; Clostridia; Lachnospirales; Lachnospiraceae. RNAcentral also lists the same sequence under 2 other names. The record is from RNAcentral.
UGGGGAAUAUUGCACAAUGGGGGAAACCCUGAUGCAGCGACGCCGCGUGAGCGAAGAAGUAUUUCGGUAUGUAAAGCUCUAUCAGCAGGGAAGAAGAAAUGACGGUACCUGACUAAGAAGCACCGGCUAAAUACGUGCCAGCAGCCGCGGUAAUACGUAUGGUGCAAGCGUUAUCCGGAUUUACUGGGUGUAAAGGGAGCGCAGGCGGAAGGCUAAGUCUGAUGUGAAAGCCCGGGGCUCAACCCCGGUACUGCAUUGGAAACUGGUCAUCUAGAGUGUCGGAGGGGUAAGUGGAAUUCCUAGUGUAGCGGUGAAAUGCGUAGAUAUUAGGAGGAACACCAGUGGCGAAGGCGGCUUACUGGACGAUAACUGACGCUGAGGCUCGAAAGCGUGGGGAGCAAACAGG